CGUCACUCUCCAACCAUUUAUUAACAAAAUAUGCAACAGUUUAGUAAGAUAAUACACGUACCCAAGCAAUGACACAUACGUGUAAUAAACAUGACUUCUUAGGAAAAGCCGCGUGCCGUGUUAUUAUGGUUAUAAGCGUGCAAUAGUCACAUAUGGACUGCAGACAGGUGAGUCGUGCCGGUGAGCACGCGCCAAGGCCACCGGCCAACCACUAUGCGCGAAGACGACACUUUUGCGCAUGCGCUUAUGUCCUGCCUGCUUUCUUAUCAGUGGGCGUUCGGUGAAGUUUGCCGCGAAUGGAGUGGUGCCGAGGAGAAUGGACCGCGGAGUAUAACUCGGAGCGAAUGCGUAAAAAUAAGAGCUAACCCAUUUCCUUCCGGCUACAGAGCACGCCCCCUGAUGACAUCAUUUCCUCCCUUCUUGUUAGAUGAUCCGCCUCUUCCUUCCUCACCACUAUAAAGAACCAGCAACUCUUACCUGCAGCAGUCUUGUAUUGGACUCAGUCCUAUGAGAUACUCAGUACUAACGAUCGCUCUUUUUCCCAUUGCAGAGAAAGUGAUAAUAUACGGGGCAGAUCCCACCCAAACCUAAA
This is a long non-coding RNA of Erpetoichthys calabaricus (reedfish), 592 nucleotides long. RefSeq lists it as uncharacterized. Lineage: Eukaryota; Metazoa; Chordata; Cladistia; Polypteriformes; Polypteridae. The record is from RefSeq and is a predicted model, not a curated record. The transcript has 2 exons.